GAUGAACGCUGGCGGCGUGCCUAAUACAUGCAAGUCGAGCGAACAGACGAGGAGCUUGCUCCUCUGACGUUAGCGGCGGACGGGUGAGUAACACGUGGAUAACCUACCUAUAAGACUGGGAUAACUUCGGGAAACCGGAGCUAAUACCGGAUAAUAUAUUGAACGGCAUGGUUCAAUAGUGAAAGACGGUUUUGCUGUCACUUAUAGAUGGAUCCUCGCCGCAUUAGCUAGUUGGUACGGUAACGGCUUACCAAGGCAACGAUGCGUAGCCGACCUGAGAGGGUGAUCGGCCACACUGGAACUGAGACACGGUCCAGACUCCUACGGGAGGCAGCAGUAGGGAAUCUUCCGCAAUGGGCGAAAGCCUGACGGAGCCACGCCGCGUGAGUGAUGAAGGUCUUCGGAUCGUAAAACUCUGUUAUUAGGGAAGAACAAAUGUGUAAGUAACUAUGCACGUCUUGACGGUACCUAAUCAGAAAGCCACGGCUAACUACGUG
This 497-nucleotide ribosomal RNA is filed under the name uncultured bacterium. Its description in RNAcentral is "partial 16S ribosomal RNA". It matches the Rfam family "Bacterial small subunit ribosomal RNA", at positions 28 to 507 of the family's 1533-position model. The record is from RNAcentral.